UAAGUGUGUGUGUGUGUGUG
Molecule: microRNA, 20 nt
Filed under: Corchorus olitorius
Lineage: Eukaryota; Viridiplantae; Streptophyta; Magnoliopsida; Malvales; Malvaceae
Description: mmu-miR-466i-
Source: RNAcentral